CUGGGCUUCCUCCUCAGUCUCAAGCAGGACGAUUGCAGCCGUUCAGGGAAUCACAUGCAGAUGGGCCUGGAUGAAGACACUGCUGAAAAUUUUUACCAAAUUUGCUAGAAUGUGAAACGCGUAUUAGGUCGACUGUUCACAUCUCAUAUCUGAAACUGAGGAUGAAGCUCCCUGAAACACCACCACCUCCCACCCACAUGCCGAGAGCUGCCAUGUUGUUCGUGGGAACAUUUGUAGUGAACCAGCCCAGGUGCCCUGAGACCAUGGGGCACCUGGCUUUCACGGCCAGAUUCUAAGUGAUGCAGCUGUUGGGACCCAGAGCACGUUCACGGCAGGGGCAGGACGAUGGGAGGACUGGUGCCUAGUUCAUACAACAUCUAAUUAGGAAAUUUUCUCCUAUAAGUCUCAGGUGCUGUUCCAAGUGCUCGCUGAAUCCUCAGAUAACUUCACAAGGUAGGGGACGUCUUUCCCAUUUUACAUGUGAGGAAACUGAGGCACAGACAGGUCCAGCAAGCCACCCAAGGCCUCACUGCUAGAGCUGAGUUGAGGCUUCUUCUCCCCAAACCAAGCUUCAGAGGAAUUGGGGUCUUGAGGAUUUUCCAAAGCAUCUUGAAUCUUAUUGCGCCACCUGCUGGAGAGAAAGGAAGUAAGGCGAUUGCAAACCAGCAGCACCGGGGGAACCUUCCCAGAGGAGAUCUUCAAGAGUGGGGGGCAAGAGCACGAGACAGGACGGUUCUGGCCACUCUCCAUGGAGACCCGCAGGCAUCUCUGAAGACCUGCCUUCUUGCUUCUAGGAAGACGAGUUCCACUUUGAACUCAACUACCCGUGCAGAGAGGCUGAUGUCCCUCUUUGUAUGAUCCCAUCUGACCUCGUCCCUGAAACGGACAAAUUAAAGACAUCCUUGGCUUCCAAGAUCCAUCCGACUUCCCCUUCAUUAAGAAGAGAAACCUGGGAAUGGCUUCGCGGAUGCAAACAAUUGAACCGGAAGCUCCCGGAGGAGAGUGGAAACGACCACGGAAGAGUAUCAGUGUCUCCUCACAUGCAGAAGACGGACAUUCCUUUCAGGCUCUUCCCUGUACGUCUCUCCCUCUACUCCCAUCGCCUCCUCAUCUCCUCCAUCUUUGCACUGGAUGGCGGUUCACAGGCUGGGUUAUUUAUCCAAAGAGGUUAUUGUUUGAGAAGCUAGAGUCCUUUCUUGAGAUUUGGAGCUUCUUGCCCUCACAUCCACUCCCUUCUUAAGGAGCCCCAGAGCCAGGGAUUCUGUUCCUGCCCAUGACCACCCAUUCUGAAAUUCUGUCACUGCCACUAUCAAGAAGUUUCCUCCACAUCAACUGUCAUUCUUUGCGGGUUAGUUCAGCACACACAUGCACUGAGAGUUACGCUGUGCUCAGUAGUUGGAGAGCUGUGGAGAAGGUAAAAAUAAUUCUUGUUUCGAGGAAGUGAAAAGCAGGUUGAGGGGAACUAGUGGGUAGAAAGAUGAAGAGAUUCCAAAAUUGAGUUUGUUCCCCUUUUUAAGGUAUUGUCUGUACAAGAAUAGGUCACAUGUUUGGGAAAAUUAUGACCAGAGAGAAAUG
This is a long non-coding RNA of Prionailurus viverrinus (fishing cat), 1575 nucleotides long. RefSeq lists it as uncharacterized. The transcript is spliced from 5 exons. NCBI's taxonomy places the organism in Eukaryota, Metazoa, Chordata, Mammalia, Carnivora, Felidae. The record is from RefSeq and is a predicted model, not a curated record.